This 303-nucleotide ribosomal RNA is filed under the name uncultured bacterium. Its description in RNAcentral is "partial 16S ribosomal RNA". It matches the Rfam family "Bacterial small subunit ribosomal RNA", at positions 507 to 808 of the family's 1533-position model. The record is from RNAcentral.
AGCAGUCGCCGCGGUAAGACGGAGGAUGCAAGCGUUAUCCGAAGUUACUGGGCGUAAAGCGCGCGUAGGCGGCUUCUUAAGUCUGAGGUGAAAGGUUCAACGCUUAACGUGAACAGUGCCUUGGAUACUGGGGAGCUUGAGUAUGGGAGAGGGCAGUGGAAUGGCUGGUGUAGCGGUGAAAUGCGUAGAUAUCAGUCGGAACACCCAUGGCGAAGGCAGCUGCCUGGCCUAAUACUGACGCUGAGGUGCGAAAGCGUGGGGAGCGAACGGGAUUAGAUACCCGGGUAGUCCCUGUCUCUUAUA